RNAcentral lists this ribosomal RNA (253 nucleotides) under uncultured bacterium. RNAcentral's name for it is "partial 16S ribosomal RNA". It matches the Rfam family "Bacterial small subunit ribosomal RNA", at positions 524 to 776 of the family's 1533-position model. The record is from RNAcentral.
GACGUAGGGCGCAAGCGUUGUCCGGAUUUAUUGGGCGUAAAGAGCUCGUAGGCGGCUUGUUGCGUCGUCCGUGAAAACCUGUGGCUCAACUACAGGCUUGCGGUCGAUACGGGCGGGCUGGAGUUCGGUAGGGGAGACUGGAAUUCCUGGUGUAGCGGUGAAAUGCGCAGAUAUCAGGAGGAACACCAAUGGCGAAGGCAGAUCUCUGGGCCGUAACUGACGCUGAGGAGCGAAAGCAUGGGGAGCGAACAGG